GACAGAGGUGGCAAGCGUUGCUCGGAUUCACUGGGCUUAAAGGGCGCGUAGGCGGCUUUGUAAGUCCGAGGUGGAAUUCCACAGCUCAACUGUGGAACUGCCUUUGAUACUGCAAGGCUUGAGUCAGGUAGAGGAGGGCGGAAUUCCCGGUGUAGCGGUGAAAUGCGUAGAUAUCGGGAGGAAGGCCGGUGGCGAAGGCGGCCUCCUGGGCCUGCACUGACGCUGAGGCGCGAAAGCGUGGGGAGCAAACAGG
This 253-nucleotide ribosomal RNA is filed under the name uncultured microorganism. RNAcentral's name for it is "partial 16S ribosomal RNA". It matches the Rfam family "Bacterial small subunit ribosomal RNA", at positions 524 to 776 of the family's 1533-position model. The record is from RNAcentral.